CCAAUAGCGUAUAUUAAAGUUGUUGCAGUUAAAAAGCUCGUAGUUGAAUUUCGGGGUUAGUAGGUUGGUCGUGCCACCGGUAUGUACUGGCUUUACUGAUCCCUCCUUCUUGUAGAACCGUAAUGCCAUUAACUUGGUGUUGCGGGGAAACAGGACUGUUACUUUGAAAAAAUUAGAGUGUUUAAAGCAGGCUAACGCUUGAAUACAUUAGCAUGGAAUAAUGAAAUAGGACGAUCGAUCCUAUUUUGUUGGUUUCUAGGAUUGACGUAAUGAUUAAUAGGGAUAGUUGGGGGCAUUAGUAUUCAAUUGUCAGAGGUGAAAUUCUUGGAUUUAUUGAAGACUAACUACUGCGAAAGCAUUUGCCAAGGAUGUUUUCAUUAAUCAAGAACGAAAGUUAGGGGAUCGAAGACGAUCAGAUACCGUCGUAGUCUUAACCAUAAACUAUGCCGACUAGGGAUCGGAUGAUGUUAAUUUUUUAAUGACUCAUUCGGCGCCUUACG
Molecule: ribosomal RNA, 500 nt
Filed under: uncultured Glomeromycotina
Lineage: Eukaryota; Fungi; Glomeromycota
Description: partial small subunit ribosomal RNA
Rfam family: Eukaryotic small subunit ribosomal RNA
Source: RNAcentral